Molecule: ribosomal RNA, 253 nt
Filed under: uncultured bacterium
Lineage: Bacteria
Description: partial 16S ribosomal RNA
Rfam family: Bacterial small subunit ribosomal RNA
Source: RNAcentral
GACGUGGGGGGCGAGCGUUGUCCGGAAUUACUGGGCGUAAAGCGUGCGCAGGCGGUUCGUUGUGUCGGCGGUGAAAGCCCCGGGCUUAACCUGGGAAUGGCCGUUGAAACUGGCGAACUGGAGUGUGGCAGAGGGGGGUGGAAUUCCGCGUGUAGCAGUGAAAUGCGUAGAGAUGCGGAGGAACACCGAUGGCGAAGGCAGCCCCCUGGGCUAACACUGACGCUCAGGCACGAAAGCGUGGGGAGCAAACAGA